AUGCCGUAUGGAUUGGCAUAUGCGCCAGCUACAUUCCAAGGAGUGAUGCAUGUGGUCUUGCGUCCAGUUCACCGAAAAGGAGUCUUGGUGUUCAUGGACGAUAUCCUGAUCCAUUCUGAAGAUCUGGACACACACAAGCAGUUGCUCACCCAAGUACUGCAGCUGCUGAACCAAUAUGGUCUGAAAGCCAAACGAACCAAGUGCACCUUUGGGCAACAGAAAAUCAGCUAUUUGGGUCACAUUAUCAGUGAAGGAGGAGUGGCCACUGACAACAAGAAAGUGCAAGCCGUACAGGAGUGGCCUGUGCCAACCAAUACCAAGGAAUUGAGGGGGUUCUUGGGCCUCGCUGGCUAUUACAGAAAGUUUGUCCGCUUCUUUGGGGUGAUCAGCAAACCACUCACCAAUUUGUUGAAGAAGAACACGGUGUUUGUAUGGACACCUACGGCAGACGCAGCCUUCUCUGCCCUGAAAAAGGCCUUGAGCGUAGCCCCAGUGCUUGCACUCCCUGACUUUCGUCGCCAAUUCGUGGUGGAAACAGACGCAAGUGCCACAGGAAUAGGAGCGGUGCUGAUGCAAGACAACCACCCAGUGGCUUAUCUAAGCAAAGCAUUAGCCCUCAAGAAUCUUGGCCUUUCAGCAUAUUAA
This 645-nucleotide ribosomal RNA is filed under the name Triticum aestivum (bread wheat). RNAcentral describes it as "partial small subunit ribosomal RNA". The record is from RNAcentral. Lineage: Eukaryota; Viridiplantae; Streptophyta; Magnoliopsida; Poales; Poaceae.